AGAAAAGUGAUGAGGUUAUAAUAUCUGAAUAUGGUGUGGAUUCCUUAUUUCAAAGGGUCUUAAAAGUUCUCUGAUUGCU
This 79-nucleotide small nucleolar RNA is filed under the name Glycine max (soybean). RNAcentral describes it as "Small nucleolar RNA R160". It matches the Rfam family "Small nucleolar RNA R160". From Rfam's summary of the family: snoR160 is a C/D box small nucleolar RNA, which acts as a methylation guide for 25S ribosomal RNA in plants. snoR160 has been alternatively named snoZ270 in rice. Lineage: Eukaryota; Viridiplantae; Streptophyta; Magnoliopsida; Fabales; Fabaceae. RNAcentral also lists the same sequence under 1 other name. The record is from Rfam by way of RNAcentral.